Molecule: transfer RNA, 67 nt
Filed under: Pygoluciola qingyu
Lineage: Eukaryota; Metazoa; Arthropoda; Insecta; Coleoptera; Lampyridae
Description: tRNA-Asp
Source: RNAcentral
AAAAAUUUAGUUAAAAUAUAACAUUAACUUGUCAAGUUAAAAUAAUUAAUUAACUUAAUAAUUUUUA